RNAcentral lists this long non-coding RNA (481 nucleotides) under Felis catus (domestic cat). RNAcentral describes it as "lncRNA (ENSFCAG00000044559.2)". Lineage: Eukaryota; Metazoa; Chordata; Mammalia; Carnivora; Felidae. The record is from RNAcentral.
GAUCCUGCCAGCCCUCUCCUGGCCCGUUGCUGACUCAGUGUCUUAUCACCUGUCCUGUCCCCGGCCCUCCUCCUGGGAGAGGCCCCACAGUCCUCUCCAAGCCGCCACCAGCCUCUGUCCUCACUGCCAUCCGUGUGUGGCGGCCGGUCUCCAAGAUGGCCCCAGCGAUCCUACACUGAACCACGUCAGGGGCGAGUCGUCACUCAGCUGGAGUUACCAACGGGCCCCGGAAAGUGCACCCCCAACUCAGUGAGAAGAGGGUCUUGGCCUUUUGUCCCUGCUGGUGCCUCUUCCUUCCGACGCCUCAGACCCCAGCAGGACGCAGCACCUGUUUUCCACGCCGUGUGACCGAUUCCCGCACGUACAGUGGCUUAAACCACGCGCGCGUCUGUCACCGUGCAGGUGCGUGAGGUCAGAGGUCUGGGGACCGCGCAGCCGGGUCCUCUGCUUACUCACAGGGCUGCAGUUGGGCGGCGGCUGG